RNAcentral lists this transfer RNA (92 nucleotides) under Salmo salar (Atlantic salmon). It matches the Rfam family "tRNA". From Rfam's summary of the family: Transfer RNA (tRNA) molecules are approximately 80 nucleotides in length. Their secondary structure includes four short double-helical elements and three loops (D, anti-codon, and T loops). Further hydrogen bonds mediate the characteristic L-shaped molecular structure. tRNAs have two regions of fundamental functional importance: the anti-codon, which is responsible for specific mRNA codon recognition, and the 3' end, to which the tRNAs corresponding amino acid is attached (by aminoacyl-tRNA synthetases). tRNAs cope with the degeneracy of the genetic code in two manners: having more than one tRNA (with a specific anti-codon) for a particular amino acid; and 'wobble' base-pairing, i.e. permitting non-standard base-pairing at the 3rd anti-codon position. The record is from Rfam by way of RNAcentral. Lineage: Eukaryota; Metazoa; Chordata; Actinopteri; Salmoniformes; Salmonidae.
UUCCCUGUGGCUCAGUUGGUAGAGCAUGGUGUUUGCAACGCCAGCAUGGUGUGGCGAACCCAGGGUUGUGGGUUUGAUUCCCAUGGGGGACC